This 568-nucleotide ribosomal RNA is filed under the name Sclerophrys tuberosa (Fernando Po toad). RNAcentral's name for it is "partial 16S ribosomal RNA". It matches the Rfam family "Bacterial large subunit ribosomal RNA", at positions 1829 to 2600 of the family's 2925-position model. The record is from RNAcentral. Lineage: Eukaryota; Metazoa; Chordata; Amphibia; Anura; Bufonidae.
CGCCUCUUGACCACAUAAGAGGUCCAGCCUGCCCAGUGACUCUGUUUAACGGCCGCGGUAUCCUAACCGUGCGAAGGUAGCGUAAUCACUUGUUCUUUAAUUGCGGACUAGUAUGAACGGCACCACGAGGGUUAUACUGUCUCCUUUCUCUAAUCAGUGAAACUAAUCUCCCCGUGAAGAAGCGGGGAUAUGAAUAUAAGACGAGAAGACCCUAUGGAGCUUUAAACACACAGCAACUAUUAUAUAAUACAUAUAAUUUUCUGAACACUUAAUCCUUUAAAUAACAUGACUGUAAGUUUUUGGUUGGGGUGACCACGGAGCAUAGUAUAACCUCCACGUUGAAAGAAGACACUUCUAAACUUAGACUCACACGUCUGAGCAUCAGAACACUGACAUUCAUUGACCCAAUACAAUUGAGCAACGAACCAAGUUACCCUAGGGAUAACAGCGCAAUCUACUUCAAGAGCCCCUAUCGACAGGUAGGUUUACGACCUCGAUGUUGGAUCAGGGUAUCCCAGUGGUGCAGCCGCUACUAAAGGUUCGUUUGUUCAACGAUUUAAACCCUACG